Molecule: ribosomal RNA, 492 nt
Filed under: uncultured bacterium
Lineage: Bacteria
Description: partial 16S ribosomal RNA
Rfam family: Bacterial small subunit ribosomal RNA
Source: RNAcentral
AGUGAACGCUGGCGGUAGGCCUAACACAUGCAAGUCGAACGGCAGCACAGUAAGAGCUUGCUCUUACGGGUGGCGAGUGGCGGACGGGUGAGGAAUACAUCGGAAUCUACUUUUUCGUGGGGGAUAACGUAGGGAAACUUACGCUAAUACCGCAUACGACCUACGGGUGAAAGCAGGGGAUCUUCGGACCCUGCGCGAUUGAAUGAGCCGAUGUCGGAUUAGCUAGUUGGCGGGGUAAAGGCCCACCAAGGCGACGAUCCGUAGCUGGUCUGAGAGGAUGAUCCGCCACACUGGAACUGAGACACGGUCCAGACUCCUACGGGAGGCAGCAGUGGGGAAUAUUGGACAAUGGGCGCAAGCCUGAUCCAGCCAUACCGCGUGGGUGAAGAAGGCCUUCGGGUUGUAAAGCCCUUUUGUUGGGAAAGAAAAGCAGCAGGUUAAUACCCCGCUGUUCUGACGGUACCCAAAGAAUAAGCACCGGCUAACUUCGUG